This 73-nucleotide transfer RNA is filed under the name Pseudomonadota bacterium. RNAcentral describes it as "tRNA-Ala". It matches the Rfam family "tRNA". From Rfam's summary of the family: Transfer RNA (tRNA) molecules are approximately 80 nucleotides in length. Their secondary structure includes four short double-helical elements and three loops (D, anti-codon, and T loops). The record is from RNAcentral. Lineage: Bacteria; Pseudomonadati; Pseudomonadota. RNAcentral also lists the same sequence under 1 other name.
GGGGCUGUAGUUCAGUUGGGAGAACGUUUGACUGGCAGUCAAAAGGUCAGGGGUUCGACUCCCCUCAGCUCCA